ACAAAAUUAAAGUAUUUCAAAGUACAUCUUAAUUAGAAGAAUGGCAAGCAAAAUAACUUUCUGUGCUCUACUCUUUUGCUUUUUUCUCAUGUUUGCUUCUGAGAUGCAGAUAACAGAAGCGAAAUACUGUAGAAAGCCUAGUAAAGGGUGGAAUGGGAAAUGUUUUGAAAAAAAAUGUGACAAUUGGUGCAAAAAUAAGGAUCAUGAAGAUUAUGGAGAUUGUUACAAGGGAUAUUGUUACUGCUAUUAUAAAUGUUGAAACCUAAAAUAAUGAAGCACAAUAUAUGGCCAUAAGACUUUACUUAUGGCACAAUGUGUCUUAUAUAAUGUAUGAUUGAAUAAAAGUCUGCGAUUACAUGUUUAAUAUCGCAAGAAUAAUGAUCAUAAAUUAUUUAUGGUCUAAAUGUUUGUAACUUGAUGUUUUAUAUAUGAAAGAUAUGGUAU
Solanum verrucosum is the source of this 444-nucleotide long non-coding RNA. RefSeq lists it as uncharacterized. The record is from RefSeq and is a predicted model, not a curated record. NCBI's taxonomy places the organism in Eukaryota, Viridiplantae, Streptophyta, Magnoliopsida, Solanales, Solanaceae. The transcript has 2 exons.